UCCAUGAAUAGGUGCCAAUGCUACACUUCCUUAGCUAGGAGCUAGCAAUGCUACGUGGAAUUGCAUGUCGAAAAUAUUUAAAAAGUCAACCUGCCAUCUCUCCUGCCCUGCUCGUCCAAGUUCCCACUCUAGUUCCAGUACUGGCAGGCUUCACCACUAUAUCCCAGCAGGGUCCUGCUUGGCAUGUUCUCCCAGGUAUCUUCUGAGAGGUUGUUCUCUCUCCACUUCUCAUUCAAGUCUGAAGAUGCUUACAGUCACCUGCAGUACUUCUAAAUCAGAUUUAUACCCCAUGGCAUAAAACAAAGCAACGUAGAAAAUCUCUGACUGCUCCAUAAUGCUGACUUCACAAAGUCCCCAGCCACCCACAGGAUCUCUCAAAGUUGUCAUCUGGAGGAUAGGGGAGCUUUGGGGAAAAAAUCAGAGCCCCUCAAUUACCAAUUCUGACAACUCUUAUUUUAGCUUGAAUCUCCCCAUGCAAAUAGACAGUUGACAUGUGAUUGGAGAAGAAAUAGAAGUAUGUUUCUAUUAAAACCAUGUUCCUUAAGUUGUCGCUCUGAAUUUAUAUCCCUCUGGCCUUUGCCAAGUUGGCUCUGGGCUAUAUUCUGUCCUGAAAUUAGAGCAUUCUUCUUGUAGCCCCAGGAGAUGCCUAAGAUCCUUGAAGAUGAAAACCAGACUCUGAACCAUAGCUUUGGGAAUUAGGGGAGUCCAAAGUGUAACUUCCCUAUGCAACAUGCUUGGGAUAACCCAGCUUUCCUUUGCACUUCUGAUUAGAGUUUUGAGAUGGAAGAGGUCACAGCUCCAAUGAUCUCAGCCGAAGAAGAUGAGGAAGAAGACCAGCACAAGUGCUACGACUCAGUGACCUCAUGGGAAACCGUGGGGAGAGAUAGCAUUCAAGAAGGAACAUGGGGAAGAGUAUCCAGAGUACAGAGUGGAAGCCUUUGCCCUCCUCUUUCAGCUCUCCAAGGAAUGUCUUCCUGCCCGGUGUCCUGGACAACUGCCUGUCUUUAGAAUUAACAAAUGCUCUGACUUGCAGAGUCUCUCUCAAAUCAGCUUUUGCUGGUAUCAGGAUUUCUCUGGAGGACUCAACAAAGUCCUCUCCAUGCCUGAGAUUCCUACAAUGAUUGAAAUUCCAUUGUUUCUUCCCCGUGGCAUCCAGCCCACUGUACGCUGUGGCAUUUGGACAGGUAAGUGAUCCUGGGUGAUGUAAGAAAGCGGACUGAGCAGUCUAAGGUGAGCAAGCCAGUAAGCAGCACUCCACCACAGCUCCUGCUUCUGUUCCUACCUCCAGGUUCUUGCCUCGAGUUCCUGCUCUGCCUUCAUUUCACUAUACCUAGAAGCUGAAAUAAACUAUUUCCUCCACAAGUUGUUUUUGGUCACAACAUUUAUAUCAGUGAUAGAAAUUAAACCUAGGCAGAUGCUGAGCCAUGUUCUGUCUAGCUGAUUUCCCAGAACAAUUCAUUUCACCUCUGAGCUUCAUUCAGUCUCUUCAAAUGGAAAGCAAGCCUGUAGAAAACAAGCCAUAAUUUUCAUUCUGAGCUGUCCUUUAGAGCCUUUGAGUAAGGCCCAGGCACUGGUAUUUUUAAAUGCCUUCCAAGUGAUCUAAAUGCCAGGAUUCAGUGCUGUUGAGAAGGUACAAACGGUAAUAUAUCAUCUGGUAUAAAGGAUGUCCAGUAUGACUGGGAUUGAUGCUGCUGUUGUAGUAACAACAGUGGUAAAAGAUCCCCAUCGAUCUGCUCACAUUUGUAGCACACGGAACAGUAACAAGUGUACUGAGUGCUGCACUGUGCUGGAUUGGUAGAUAUUGUUCCACAGUAGCACAAUCUGAUUAUAUAGAAUUGGAGUGGUUGGUAAAGAGUCAUUUUGAAUUUGUUUCAGUACCUUGAGCUUAAAAUGCUAAUUAUUUUGAUGGAUUAUCAAAAUGUCUGAGAGCUAGAGACUGACUCUUAAAUCCCUCUGUUAUAGCAGCUUUGGGGUCCUAAGCCAAGCUCUCUCAACUCCGUUGAAGCUCUAGACUUGAGCUUCUCCAGCUUUGUUCCUGGAAAGCCCUGUACCCAACUGAUGAGAGCCACCUCGUUUUUCUAUGUUUCUGGAUCUCUAUUGGAAGAAGCAGCUGCUGAUUUUCAUAGGCUGAUCCCACCCAAAGCUACCUACAGUGUGCAAUCCUGUACCCAGAGAGGCUGCUUAGAAAACAAGAAUGUGUGUGUGUGUGCAUACAUGCAUGCAUGUGUGUGCGUGUGCGUGUGCGUGUGCGUGUGCGUGUGUGUGUGUGUGUGUGUGUGUGUGUAUGUAAACAUAUAUUCCAGGCAAGCCAUUCUUCCGAGAGCCAUAGAGCUGCAUCUGGAGCUCCAGAAAAUCUAUGGCUUGGGACAGUUUCCAAGGCCAGGCAAAAGUCCAAAGGGCACGUUACCCCCAGAGAGCAACUGGGCAGCUUCCUAAGUUAGGGAACAGGGAUGGGAAUGAUGGUGGCUAAUAUACUCAGACCUGGGAGGGUUGAAGUCCAGAAAUCUGCCCUAAAUGUAGCCACUCAGAGGCCAAGCAUCCAUCCAAUACAGUGGUUCUCGACCUUCCUAAUGCUGCAACCCUUUAACACAGUUCCUCAUGGUGUGGCCACCCCCAGCCAUAAAACUGUUUUCAUUGCUAAUUCAUAACUGUAAAUUUCUACUUUUAUGAAUAAUAAUGUAAAUAGCCAUAUUUUUGAUGGUCUUGACAACCCCUGUGAAAGGGUCUUUAAAUCCCCAAAAGAGCCUUGGCCCACAAGUUGAGAACUUCUUAUCUAGUGGAUGCUUGCGGUGGCAGCCAUGUCUCAAAAAUACCAGAGAAGCAUCCUCAAGACAACCCAUAUAGCCAGAACUUGCAAAAUUAAAAAAUAAAAUACCCAGAAAGGAAACAUUUCAAACUUCCAAAUAAGUGGUUAGCAGUAUUCUGCUCAGCUUGGUUUUUCCCUUUCAACUUCCUUUGAGGUACAGGGUACCUCAAUUUUGUAAGCAAAAGCAGAGGGAUGAUAUCUAAAGCCUCUUAUCCCCUUUCUACAGCCUUUAUCCCAAGACAAAGAUCUGUUUUAAAAAUAGCAAUUGUCUUAAAUAUGGUCCCUGAUGAAUCACAAGUGACAAGACUGGAGGAUGGUGACACUGGCUCCCAAGACACAUGUACUCUGUUGCUGAUCUAGUUCUCCAAGUAGGUAGGGCCUCUGUCUACCACUGGGAAUCAAGUGCUCUGGCUUAUUGGCAUUAGGUGAUGGAUGUUAUAAGGAUCCACUCAUAUCUACUACAUGAGCAGAGGGAAGACAAAGGGCUUGAAACCUUUUAGCCCUAAACAUACAGAGUCCCAGUCUCUACCUACAGUUUGAAACUUCCCCUCUGCUACUUCACACAUGCAAAUGAAAGGCAUAUUUAUACAUGGCACACAUACUUGAAUGUAUCCCAGAUUUUUUGAAACCACAAUCAAUUUCUAGGUAAAGAUAAAUGUAGUGAAAGGUACCAUAAUGAUAUUUAUGUGUCUCAACCUGAAAUGAGCCAGCUGGAUGAGAACAAAUCACUAUUAGCUUAGGACUGGCAAUGCCACUGUUCAGUAGACAGGACAUUUGGAGCCAGCCACUGGAAGGGUUCUUUUUUCAGAUAUUCGGGAAACUGGGUCUAAGCAGUGAUCAUUAAGGUAGGACACAUGUGUUUGCUGUUGUUGUUGUUGUUUUGUUUUCUAAGAAUGCCUGUACUUUAUACACAUCAGAGCCUAUUAUUCUGUAACAUUAAAGUCAUUCAGUUGCCUUCCAGUUAAAAUUUGUCUGCAUGAGGCUGGAGAGAUGGCUCAGCGGUUAAGAGCACUGACUGCUCUUCCAGAGGUCCUG
Long non-coding RNA from Mus musculus (house mouse), 3841 nucleotides. RefSeq annotates it as predicted gene 12519. NCBI's taxonomy places the organism in Eukaryota, Metazoa, Chordata, Mammalia, Rodentia, Muridae. The record is from RefSeq and is a predicted model, not a curated record. The transcript is spliced from 7 exons.